Oncorhynchus mykiss (rainbow trout) is the source of this 364-nucleotide long non-coding RNA. RefSeq lists it as uncharacterized. The record is from RefSeq and is a predicted model, not a curated record. NCBI's taxonomy places the organism in Eukaryota, Metazoa, Chordata, Actinopteri, Salmoniformes, Salmonidae.
UUUCCUGUCUGCGAAUCCUGUUUGUCACUGGUUGAGGUUAGUUAGCUAGGUUAUAUAAACGUUACGUGAAGAUGAUGAGCAAGGCUGUUACGACGAAGUUUCUGAAAUCCGUGCGAGGGUUCCCAAGCCACCGAAUGAACUACGCUCAAAGUACUAUCGAGAGAGGAUAAAGAUGAGAUGCGACUUCUACAUGGAUUUUCAAGCAACACCAAUGGGUGUGGUUGGUUUUACAAGGCCAAGAAGAAGCACGUUAUCACCACUCAGACGGAGCAUAAGUGUGCUUGGACUCCUGUCGAGUCUUGGAGGCAGAGGGCUUUGACAUAACCCAUCUUCCUGUGAAGACUAAUGGCCAGGUUGACCUACA